AUCAUUAGAACCUGAAUGUCCAUAUACAACCUACCCAAUCAUAUGUUGUUUCAGGUUACCACCAUGUGACACAAAGGUGACAGCAAACAAAUAUCUUUGGCUGUUAUCCAAGUAUUCCUGAGAUCCGUGCACGGUAGCACCACCUAUCGGCAGGUGUGUGACAACUUGUUUUCUCGUCUCGUUCUCGGUCAUAAACUACAGACAUAAACUCCAUUCAUUAUAUGUUGUCCCAGUUAAUCGAACAUACACUAUGCUUCACGUCAGCCAGGGCCUUCUCCAAGUUUUUCGUCCAGAACACGGAGUCCUCUCUACCUAUCACCUCACUCUUUGAAUACGUCGAGCAAGGAAUCACUGCUUUUUGUGACAUACUUCGUUGAUACCUACUUUUCCUCGAGCUAGUUCAACAUUUAUUUUUUCACCUCUCCAUAGACUGAGGGACAAAUGGAUGACGAUUUUUUGCCAAUAAAUAACAACUGAAUACCAGUCUACAAUUGUCUGAUUAUCGAUACCAAGAUCGCCAUCUCCUGACAGAAGUACACGGUAUAAAGGAGUUUCCCCAUUUAAAGGGAGAAAGGGUGUAUGCAUGUAUUUGUUUCUGUAUGAAUGUGCAUAGGUGGACGAGAGAAAGAGAGUCAAAGAAAGCAUGAAGAAAGAGAAGAGAGACUGAGGGAGAGAGGGAGAGGAGAGAAAAGGAGAUGAAAGAGAGAGAGAGAGAGAGAGAGGGAGAGAGAGAGAGAGAGAGAGAGAGAGAGAGAGAGAGAGAGAGAGAGAGAGAGAGAGGUAAAUUAUUUACUGUUUCUUUAUGAAUUGUUUGCUGCUAAGAUAAGUUUUUAUUAGAUGCAGGGAACUUGUUGCAGGUGCUAUAUUCUUCUAGCUUUUAGUUAAUAUAGUUUCCAGUGAUUUACAACUCUUUCGAUGAAAGCAAACUGAGUGCUAGCACAGUUUAGGAAAUGAAUAAAUAAAUAAAUAGAUAAAUAAUAAAGCAAAGAAAGUAUUUAGGUACAAAUCUUUGUUACAAGACGUUUUUAUUACUUUCUCAACAACAACAACAACAUUUACGAACCAAGCAAAUGUAAAACUUCUGGCGAAUUAAUUGGAAAUAAAAGAAACUUUGAGUUAGCAC
Long non-coding RNA from Octopus bimaculoides (California two-spot octopus), 1123 nucleotides. The record is from RefSeq and is a predicted model, not a curated record. NCBI's taxonomy places the organism in Eukaryota, Metazoa, Mollusca, Cephalopoda, Octopoda, Octopodidae.